GGCGGGGCGGGGGCGAGCGCGGUUCCUCCUAGAGUUGUUUGCCGCACGAGGGGCGAGACGAACCGGACCUGCAGAGCGCACUCCUAGGAGUGGAGGAAGGAGUGGGGGCUCAGUCGGGCCGGUUUGGAGGCAGGAGGCACUUGCUCUCCGAAAUUCCGUGAGAGCUGCAAUCAAUAAGGGAGCCGCAGUGGAGUAGGCGGGGAGAAGGCCGCACCCUUCUCGGCAGGGGGAGGGGAGUGCCGCAAUACCUUUCUGGGAGUUCUCUGCUGCCUCCUGGCUUCUAAAGACCGCCCCGGGCCUGGAACAGUCCCUUCCCCCUCUCCCCUCGUGAUCUGCAAGUCGAGGCUUUCUGGAAGAUGGGCGGGAGUCUUCUAGGCUGUCUUAAGGGCUAACCUGAUGGAUGUCUCCUCCAAUAUCACCUGAUGUAUCUUACAUAUCGCCAGGCUGAUUGUAUUAAAAGGUACAUGAAUUGACAUGAAAUUUACUGACUCCUUAAUGCUUUAGUGGAUUCCACGAGUACAAUACAGAAGACCGUUAAUGGGCUAGUGACAGCUUUUUCCUUUUUCAUUUCAUUAUUUCCUGCAUACACACUUUGAGUCACAUGGAAUUGAUUACUGCUUACUCAUAUUUUGUCACUGUACACAUCUGUAGAUGGUGGUUCCCUCUAGAAUUCACUGUUAUGGUUCAGGUGUUGGCUCUCCUGGCCUAAGGUCCUGUGAGCCUGUGUUUUCCUAUUUAAGCAGUGCUUUCUCUUGGUCUCUGGCUUGAUUCAUGUCACUCCUCAUGUUAUUGCUGGUUUAAAUGUUUUGCUGAGCUGCUUUGGUGCUGUCUUACUGACGACUUUUAAGUUCCUACUAUAUUUCUUGUAGCCAGUCGUAAGUAAAAUGUAGUAAGCAACAUAAAUGUAUUUGUGAAGCUUGGUCUUGAGGUUAAGUGUUGUGUGUGUGCUCAAUAAGAAUACUAUCCAGGAGAACUUACUGCAGUGACGUGGACACUGUACAUGUAUUGUCCCAAUAUGGUAGCCAAUAAUCAAAUCACUCUUUAAGCACUGGAAAUGUGAACAAGGAACUAAUUUUCAUUUGAAGUGUAACUGGACAGGGGAACCAUAGCUGCAAACUUGGGGGUUAUAGAAGACUAAUGGGAACUUUAAUAAUGUUCUGUUUACACUAAGCAAUCAAGAAAUAAAAAAUUGAACCUCUGGUAGCCAUUUGCUUCAAGUGCUUUGUUGUUUUUUUUUUUUUUCUGCUUCAUCUAUACUAAGCUGAAAGCUAAACCUACAAACCAUUACUAAACAUGAAAGCAAGUACCGAUUAAUUUGGAUUUCAAAACCUUAGGGCUAGAGUUUAACUGAGCACUGGUGUGCUCACCUUUGGUCCCAGCACUCAGAAAACAGAGCCAGGUAGGUCUCUAAGUUCGAGGACAGCCAGGGCUGUCGAAAAACAAAAUUUAGGAAGCUGAGAUUUCAUUAAAUCAUAAUUGAGGCAUUCCCUAGGAGCCACCAUGGGAUUUGGCUGCUAGUCAAUUUAAUUGCUUUUUCUUUUUCUUUUCUUUUUUUUUCCCCCCUUCACUUUGGGCUUCCUUACUCUUUGAACCGUCCUUCCCACCAUGUGGUUUCUUGUCUGCCACAUGUCUGAGUUCCCAUGCUGGUUUAAAUGGCGUGGCUUUUUGCCUCAGGGCAGCUGCUGAGAUUUGCAGCCUGGUUUUUGGGGUGGGCUUGGAAAUUCUUUUAAACUCUAAAUUUGUCCUUUCUUUAAAAAAAAUGAAAAUAAAAGUUUCAUGAGGAGUGAGAUGGGACUGAUAUUUAAUGAGCCCCUGCCCCCUAAAAAAACUAAGGCUUUGUUUUCUACUUCCAUGUCUUAAAGUUUGGUAUGUCUAGGACAGGGACAUCUUAGGGCUUUAGUAUGCAGAGACUGUUGCCUUGCUGUUGGAUUUUCUAGUCUCCCACCCAGAGAAUUUUAAAUUCUGGGCAGCCAAGGCCAGAUUAAAAUUCUGUCCUUUCAUGUUCACUUGCUUACUGUAAAUAUAAAAAUGAUAACCUCAAAGACUUUUUCCUGAGACAGGGUCUCACGCAGUAUGUGUCUCUGGCUGGCCUGUAACUCAAUAUGUAUAGACCAGACUAGCCUUAAGUUACAGUUCUGCCUGCUUCUGCUUCCUGAGUGGUGGGGUUAAAAGUGACCAGUGUGUCCCUAUCCUGAGCUGUUUUGUUUUGUUUUUUUUUCUCCCCUCUUAAAAAAAGAACCAGACAGUAACAAACCCCGAGUGAAAGGGAAAAACAAAAUGCAGGUCAGAUCCUUUUAAAGGAACUAUAUUAAGGGGGCUUGGGUGAUAAUUAGUAAAGUGUUGCAAGCAAUGAAAACUUGAAUUAAAUCUCCACAACCCACAUAAGAAAGCCAGGCAAGUUAGAGCACGUCUGAGGUAUCCCUAGGACUUACUGGCCACAUAAGCCUAGGUACUUGGCAGUCUCCACGCCAGUGAGAACAUCUCAAAAAACAAGGCAGAUAGCAAAUAAGAAACUACAGGUGGUCUGGAGAGGUGGUUAAGAGCACUGGCUACUCUUCCAGAGGACACAGACUCAAUUCAAUUCCCAGCAUCCACAUGGCAGCUUACUAUCUAUAACUCCAGUUCCAGGGGAUCUGACACCCUCACACAGAAUAUAUACAGGAAAAACACCAGUGUACAUUAAAUAAACUAUAGUCAAAGUUGUCUUUCACACCCACCUACAUACAAGGAUAUGAAAAUAUUCCAAAUAAUAUUUCCUUCAACUUUGAUCUACUACUACGUUUCUCCCAUCAAAUUGCAUUCCUCAAGGACACGGAUUUCUUCAGUGAGUAAGCAGAGUUGAGAACCAAACAAAUGUUGGUUUUAUGAUUUGUCAAGUCAGAGUUUUCAAUUGCUAAUUAAAGCCCAUGAAAUACAGGACAAAGCUCCUAUUGUGCAGGAAUCUAAUACUUAACUGAAGUGUCUUAAUGCUCUUUUCAUGGAGGAAACUGAGGCCUCCCUGUCUUGUACUCAGAAGCACUUCCUUGGGUUUCCCCUGAACCAUUGCAGCUAUCCAAUUCUUGUACUAGGCAUGCCUUGGUUGGUGGUUUAAAUAACCUUAAUUUCCUGUGUCAUGAUUUCAUAUACUUACCACAAAAACUUACAUGUUAAACAUUUGUGCUUGAUGUGAAAGUUAGAUGAGGGUGUGUGAUUUUUACUUUAAAAAUUUUGAAUUAGAUAAGGCCUUAUGUUUGGUGUAAAAUGUGACAGUUGGGCAUCCCAAGAACGAGACUAGUUUGGGGUGAACCCUAGCUAUACAGCAUUUUGCUGGGUCACAACUUUGGGAGUCAAGCAUUUAACCUUGAAGGUGGUUGAGACUUUAGUUUAUGUAUUGGAGGGUAUACUUAUCCAGAAGAUAUUCGUGACUCCAUUCUUGACUGGUUUAGUUAGCACUGAGUGUCUUUUAGGCUUGAACUGGAGUUGUGUUAUGUCCAGGCCCGUUUUUCCGACUUAGUAAUCACUGGUCUUUUUUGUCCUGGUAUUUUUUUCACCCUUGUUUUCUAGGUAUUUGAAGAAAUAUUUUAAGUUUGGAUUUUCCUUUUGGCAACGUUAACAUGUUUUCAGGUCAUAUUUAUAAAAUUGAGUAUUUUGUUACUUAACCCAAUCCUACUUCUUCUAUUGGGUGGAUUUUGAAUUCACUCAGUAGACUUGAUCUUUUUUGGCCCUUCACUAAAAUCCCAUAUGAAGUACUAUUCACCAUAACAGAGGCUUUGGUACCAGUGUGUGUACAGUAGAGACAACUAAAACUCAGAUUUACUAACUUCCCAUGGGCAUACAAGUAGAUUGGGGCUAGGGAUAGAAACUGGCCUAGCUUUUGAUAUUCCUACCAGCUUUGUACUACCUUGUUCUGAUUCAAAUAUUGUUUUAGGAAAUUAGAGAUAAAUAUAAGGUAGUGAUAGAGUAAUGACCAAAAUGCUAGGUUUCUCUCUCAGAGAAGAAUUCAAAAAUUUGACCAAGUCUUAAGUCACUGAGAGUGCUUCAGAACAUCUCAAGGAACCUUUCCUUAAAGCCCUCACCCCUACACCACAUCUGGUCAAUUGAAUGUUGUCAUGGCUCUUAAAAUCUAAUUAAGGAUAGUAAUUGUGUCAUUAUUGUUUUUCCUCCUUUAGAUUGUUCCUUAAGGAGAGGACAGUGCUUGUUUAAGGCUGUAUCCCUGCUGUCUGAGCAGAACCAGGUCUUCGAGAUCAACACACUUUUCGUAAUACCAAGCUGUUGCCUUUUACAUUCUCAGAAGCAAACAGACACAUGAUUCUCACUGACAAUACUGUCACUCUGUUAAAUGCUACUAUGUAGUUUGGAUUUUUCUAAGGUAGUUUAGGUGUGGAGUAUGUUUUUUUUUUUAUUAACUUUCUAGGUUAUACCUUCUAUAAUCUAUACAGUUGUUAUUUUUAAAUCUUGUAGCUUUGUAUAUAAGGACAAAGGUGUUUUAUUGUCAUGUUUUGAGCAUUUCCCCAAAGUUCCAAAUUAUAAAACUGCAACUUUAGAACUUAAUUAGAAAGAGGGUUGUGGUUUUAUAAGAAGACACUUAAUUGUUCCACUAAUCUUAUUUGUGUUUUAAGAUAUUAUAUAAACUGACAAAUAUGGAAGAGUCGGUCAAGAAACUUAGGGAGUGAAAUGUAUCCUGGCGUUAGAGAUCAUUUAACUUGGCAUGUCCUUUGCAACACCCUAACUUGGAAUAGUGCUGGCACCAGCUAUGUUGUGGACUCAUUCCAAUGAGUGUUGGAUUGUUUUGAACGCUACUGAAUAAUUUAAAUUCAGACUUCUGGUGAUCCAUAAAACAAAACUGUCAUAAGUUUCAAACCAGAAAUUAAAAAAACUGAAUAUUUCAGAAGAAGAAAAUUAUUUGCUGUAUUAGCUGGAGAAAUGUAUAAUGGCUAAGAAUUUAGAAACUAUACAGUUGACAUUGCUGAGUAUCUGCCAGAUGAAAAGAAAUGCCCAUAGUGGUUCUUCUGAACAGUAUAGUUAACUUGUUAAAGAUUUUUUCCCCACAGAUACACACUCUAAUAAGAUAUACGUAACACUUUUCAAAUGGAUGCAGCUACAAACAUGGUUGGACUUGUUACUGUGCUUCUAUUUAUUUAAUGUGAAAGCUUGGCAAUAAACCUAUGUCCUAAAAUA
Non-coding RNA from Peromyscus maniculatus bairdii (prairie deer mouse), 5157 nucleotides. The record is from RefSeq and is a predicted model, not a curated record. Lineage: Eukaryota; Metazoa; Chordata; Mammalia; Rodentia; Cricetidae.